ACACUCAGUAUCAUCAGUGGCUGGGACCAGGGCCAAGUGAAUGCCCUCAUCCAGAGCAUCAUUAGUUCAGGCUUUAAUAUCAACAGUGCCUCCUCUCUGGUAUCAUUGGGAACACUUAUUGGUGGUGUUCCUUCUACAGCCAUAUCCAUCAUCCCAUCUUCUGAGCUUCUGUCUUUAUCUCAGAAUCCAACAUUCAUUGCUAAUAUUCUAUCAGCCCCAGUUAUUCUACAACAGACAUUUGUCCAAAAGGUAAUCUCUGUAGACCAAACCUCUGUCAUACAAAAUGUUCCGGAUGCACUAGUGAUGUAUAUUCCACUUGUUCUACUGACAUCUCUGAGCUCUGUGGAAGUUUCACUCAUCAAUAACAAGAGCUGGAGUCAUGAACAGGUACCUAAACCCACCCACUUUGUUACACUGAAAAACUAAAGUCUCAUGCCUCGACUGUAAUAGCAGCAGUUCCCCAAAUCUG
Silurus meridionalis is the source of this 469-nucleotide long non-coding RNA. RefSeq lists it as uncharacterized. The record is from RefSeq and is a predicted model, not a curated record. Lineage: Eukaryota; Metazoa; Chordata; Actinopteri; Siluriformes; Siluridae. The transcript is spliced from 3 exons.